UGCGAAUGGCUCAUUAAAUCAGUUAUCGUUUAUUUGAUAGUACCCUACUACUUGGAUAACCGUGGUAAUUCUAGAGCUAAUACAUGCUAAAAACCCCGACUUCGGAAGGGGUGUAUUUAUUAGAUAAAAAGCCAACGCCCUUCGGGGCUCCGUGGUGAUUCAUGAUAACUUCACGAACCGCAUGGCCUUGCGCCGGCGGUGGUUCAUUCAAAUUUCUGCCCUAUCAACUUUCGAUUGUUGGGUAUUGGCCAACAAUGGUUACGACGGGUAACGGGGAAUUAGGGUUCGAUUCCGGAGAGGGAGCCUGAGAAACGGCUACCACAUCCAAGGAAGGCAGCAGGCGCGCAAAUUACCCAAUCCCGACGCGGGGAGGUAGUGACAAUAAAUACUGAUACAGGGCUCUUUUGGGUCUUGUAAUUGGAAUGAGUACAAUUUAAAUACCUUAACGAGGAACAAUUGGAGGGCAAGUCUGGUGCCAGCAGCCGCGGUAAUUCCAGCUCCAAUAGCGUAUAUUAAAGUUGUUGCAGUUAAAAAGCUCGUAGUUGAACCUUGGCCCUGGCUAGCCGGUCCGCCUCACCGCGUGUACUGGUCCGGCCGGGGCUUUCCUCCUGGGGAUCCGCAUGGCCUUCGCUGGUCGUGCUGGGGAACCAGGACUUUUACUUUGAAAAAAUUAGAGUGUUCAAAGCAGGCAUCCGCUCGAAUACAUUAGCAUGGAAUAAUGGAAUAGGACGUGUGGUUCUAUUUCGUU
RNAcentral lists this ribosomal RNA (748 nucleotides) under Dendrographa alectoroides. RNAcentral describes it as "SSU rRNA". It matches the Rfam family "Eukaryotic small subunit ribosomal RNA", at positions 88 to 846 of the family's 1831-position model. The record is from RNAcentral. Lineage: Eukaryota; Fungi; Ascomycota; Arthoniomycetes; Arthoniales; Roccellaceae.